UCAGAUUUGAUUACAUGCAUAAGACUCUCUUUAGAACAAGUAAUGGAAGAGGCUCACACCAGAACAAAAAACACGCUAUGUUAUGGUCUAACAUGGCAUACACGACAACGACAGUCUGAGGGAUCUGGACUGAGAGAAAUAAGAGAGUGCGUGAAAACAGACGCACAAGUCCGCAAGAGAUAAGGAGAAAGAUAAUGCAAGAUAUAUUAAAGACAUUUGCGCCAAACAGCUACAAGGCCAGAUGGACGCGCCAAGAGCAAAAACUAAUGGAAGUAUAGGCUAGAAGGGCCCAGUUGACAACAA
Molecule: long non-coding RNA, 303 nt
Filed under: Zostera marina
Lineage: Eukaryota; Viridiplantae; Streptophyta; Magnoliopsida; Alismatales; Zosteraceae
Description: long non-coding RNA (ZMAR_LNC002579)
Source: RNAcentral